RNAcentral lists this transfer RNA (71 nucleotides) under Acidobacteriota bacterium. RNAcentral's name for it is "tRNA-Ile". It matches the Rfam family "tRNA". From Rfam's summary of the family: Transfer RNA (tRNA) molecules are approximately 80 nucleotides in length. Their secondary structure includes four short double-helical elements and three loops (D, anti-codon, and T loops). Further hydrogen bonds mediate the characteristic L-shaped molecular structure. tRNAs have two regions of fundamental functional importance: the anti-codon, which is responsible for specific mRNA codon recognition, and the 3' end, to which the tRNAs corresponding amino acid is attached (by aminoacyl-tRNA synthetases). tRNAs cope with the degeneracy of the genetic code in two manners: having more than one tRNA (with a specific anti-codon) for a particular amino acid; and 'wobble' base-pairing, i.e. permitting non-standard base-pairing at the 3rd anti-codon position. Lineage: Bacteria; Pseudomonadati; Acidobacteriota. The record is from RNAcentral.
CGCGGUGUAGCUUAGUGGGAAAGCAGACGACCGAUAAUCGUCAGACGGAAGUUCGAUUCUUCCCGCCGCGA